UACGUAGGCAGCGAGCGUUGUUCGGAGUUACUGGGCGUAAAGCGUGCGUAGGCGGUGGUCCAAGUCUGGUGUGAAAUCUCCCGGCUCAACUGGGAGGGUGCGCCGGAAACUGGGCCGCUGGAGUAUGGGAGAGGCAAGCGGAAUUCCAGGUGUAGCGGUGAAAUGCGCAGAUAUCAGGAGGAACACCGAUGGCGAAGGCAGGUCUCUGGGCCACUACUGACGCUGAGAAGCGAAAGCAUGGGGAGCGAACAGG
RNAcentral lists this ribosomal RNA (253 nucleotides) under uncultured bacterium. RNAcentral describes it as "partial 16S ribosomal RNA". It matches the Rfam family "Bacterial small subunit ribosomal RNA", at positions 524 to 776 of the family's 1533-position model. The record is from RNAcentral.